UACGUAGGAUCCAAGCGUUGUCCGGAUUUACUGGGUGUAAAGGGUGCGCAGGCGGAAUGGUAAGUCAGAGGUGAAAUCUCAUCGCUUAACGGUGAAACUGCCUUUGAUACUAUCAUUCUUGAGUCCGAUAGAGAUCUGUGGAAUUCCGAGUGUAGCAGUGAAAUGUGUAGAUAUUCGGAAGAACACCAGUGGCGAAGGCAGCAGAUUGGGUCGGUACUGGACGCUCAGGCACGAAAGCAUGGGGAUCAAACAGG
RNAcentral lists this ribosomal RNA (254 nucleotides) under uncultured bacterium. RNAcentral's name for it is "partial 16S ribosomal RNA". It matches the Rfam family "Bacterial small subunit ribosomal RNA", at positions 524 to 776 of the family's 1533-position model. The record is from RNAcentral.